UUCAAGGAAAAUUGGAUUCCUGCGGAGCAGCUCGCAGGCCGGGCCGUGGCAUUUCAGAGCGGUUUAGAAGUAAUAUUCCGUUCGCCGGGGCCGUGAAAUAGGAGUCAUUUCUCUAUGGCCCAGCUGCUUUUCCAACCCCUGUCCCCGGCCGGGCAGUGCCUGUAAUUGACCUGCCCCGGACGGGAGGAAAGAUCUGCCCAGCCGCUGACCGGGCCUAGGGAAAGCUGGCACCGCGAGGAUCUGUGUUGCAAACCUGCUGUUGAGAUUCAGCCAUAGUCUUUGGCCCACCUGGGUGGCGGCUGGGUGACACACGGGGGGUCCGAGCUUCCUCCCACCCAGACUCAUCGUCCACUGAAACACACAGAGGAUGGGUUGAGUAACAACCGUCAACCUGCCCUGCACUCCCCCUAGCCAACCUGUUCCUCCCCAUCUCUGCUCCAGCUGAUUCUGCUCAGCGCCGAGACAGCCAGAUCAUGGUUUCCCCGGCCCCAAAACCAGUUCGGAUCCACCCUGAGAGCGACCCGACGCGGCGCGAAGUAUCUCAGCGGCACUUGGAGGGUCAGUCCUAGCUUGGGGGUCUGAGCGAGGCUAGAAUUUUUCCCAGCGUUUAACUAAAGCGCCGUGCUCCUGCUCUCUUCCCUCUCACUUUUCUUUCGAUCUAAUUAUUUUUCCUAUAAGCUCGGUCUCCUAGAGAGCAAAUAUCAGAGUCACUGAGCGAAAAUUAUGUAAAUAUUAUUAAAGGGACUCGGGCUCAGAAA
Long non-coding RNA from Gopherus evgoodei (Goodes thornscrub tortoise), 758 nucleotides. RefSeq lists it as uncharacterized. NCBI's taxonomy places the organism in Eukaryota, Metazoa, Chordata, Testudines, Testudinidae. The record is from RefSeq and is a predicted model, not a curated record. The transcript is spliced from 4 exons.